RNAcentral lists this ribosomal RNA (270 nucleotides) under uncultured archaeon. RNAcentral describes it as "partial 16S ribosomal RNA". It matches the Rfam family "Archaeal small subunit ribosomal RNA", at positions 477 to 747 of the family's 1478-position model. The record is from RNAcentral.
CAGCACCCCGAGUGGUCGGGACGAUUAUUGGGCCUAAAGCAUCCGUAGCCGGUUCUACAAGUCUUCCGUUAAAUCCACCUGCUUAACAGAUGGGCCGCGGAGGAUACUAUAAGACUAGGAGGCAGGAGAGGCAAGCGGUACUCAGUGGGUAGGGGUAAAAUCCGUUGAUCCAUUGAAGACCACCAGUGGCGAAGGCGGCUUGCCAGAAUGCGCUCGACGGUGAGGGAUGAAAGCUGGGGGAGCAAACCGGAUUAGAGACCCGCGUAGUCC